GCAGCCAUGCCGCGUGUGUGAAGAAGGCCUUCGGGUUGUAAAGCACUUUCAGUCGUGAGGAAGAGUGUGUAUUUAAUACAUGCGCACUUUGACGUUAGCUACAGAAGAAGCACCGGCUAACUCCGUGCCAGCAGCCGCGGUAAUACGGAGGGUGCGAGCGUUAAUCGGAAUUACUGGGCGUAAAGCGCAUGCAGGUGGUUCGUUAAGUCAGAUGUGAAAGCCCGGGGCUCAACCUCGGAAUAGCAUUUGAAACUGGCGAACUAGAGUACUGUAGAGGGGGGUAGAAUUUCAGGUGUAGCGGUGAAAUGCGUAGAGAUCUGAAGGAAUACCAAUGGCGAAGGCGGCCCCCUGGACUCAUACUGACACUCAGAUGCGAAAGCGUGGGGAGCAAACAGGAUUAGAUACCCUGGUAGUCCACGCCGUAAACGAUGUCUACUUGGAGGUUGUGGCCUUGAGCCGUGGCUUUCGGAGCUAACGCGUUAAGUAGACCGCCUGGGGAGUACGGUCGCAAGAUUAAAACUCAAAUGAAUUGACGGGGGCCCGCACAAGCGGUGGAGCAUGUGGUUUAAUUCGAUGCAACGCGAAGAACCUUACCUACUCUUGACAUCUACAGAAUCCAUGCGGAGACACAAGUGUGCCUUCGGGAACUGUGAUACAGGUGCUGCAUGGCUGUCGUCAGCUCGUGUUGUGAAAUGUUGGGUUAAGUCCCGCAACGAGCGCAACCCUUAUCCUUGUUUGCCAGCGAGUAAUGUCGGGAACUCCAGGGAUACUGCCGGUGAUAAACUGGAGGAAGGUGGGGACGACGUCAAGUCAUCAUGGCCCUUACGAGUAGGGCUACACACGUGCUACAAUGGCACAUACAGAGGGCAGCUAGCUAGCGAUAGUGAGCGAAUCCCAAAAAGUGUGUCGUAGUCCGGAUUGGAGUCUGCAACUCGACUCCAUGAAGUCGGAAUCGCUAGUAAUCGUGAAUCAGAAUGUCACGGUGAAUACGUUCCCGGGCCUUGUACACACCGCCCGUCACACCAUGGGAAGUGGAUUGCAAAAGAAGCAGGUAGUUUAACCUUCUAGAAGACCCUUGCCACUUUGUGGUUAA
Molecule: ribosomal RNA, 1093 nt
Filed under: Vibrio sp.
Lineage: Bacteria; Pseudomonadati; Pseudomonadota; Gammaproteobacteria; Vibrionales; Vibrionaceae
Description: bacterial SSU rRNA
Rfam family: Bacterial small subunit ribosomal RNA
Source: RNAcentral